This 389-nucleotide ribosomal RNA is filed under the name uncultured bacterium. Its description in RNAcentral is "bacterial SSU rRNA". It matches the Rfam family "Bacterial small subunit ribosomal RNA", at positions 28 to 417 of the family's 1533-position model. The record is from RNAcentral.
GACGAACGCUGGCGGCGUGCUUAACACAUGCAAGUCGAGCGGUAAGGCCCUUUCGGGGGUACACGAGCGGCGAACGGGUGAGUAACACGUGGGUGACCUGCCCUCAGCUCUGGGAUAAGCCUGGGAAACCGGGUCUAAUACCGGAUAUGACUCCAUGACGCAUGUUGUGGGGUGGAAAGCCUUGUGCGGCUGAGGAUGGGCCCGCGGCUUAUCAGCUUGUUGGUGGGGUGAUGGCCUACCAAGGCGACGACGGGUAGCCGGCCUGAGAGGGCGACCGGCCACACUGGGACUGAGACACGGCCCAGACUCCUACGGGAGGCAGCAGUGGGGAAUCUUGCGCAAUGGGCGAAAAGCCUGACGCAGCGACGCCGCGUGAGGGAUGACGGCCU